GAUGAACGCUGGCGGCGUGCCUAAUACAUGCAAGUCGAGCGAACAGACGAGGAGCUUGCUCCUCUGACGUUAGCGGCGGACGGGUGAGUAGCACGUGGAUAACCUACCUAUAAGACUGGGAUAACUUCGGGAAACCGGAGCUAAUACCGGAUAAUAUAUUGAACCGCAUGGUUCAAUAGUGAAAGACGGUUUUGCUGUCACUUAUAGAUGGAUCCGCGCCGCAUUAGCUAGUUGGUAAGGUAACGGCUUACCAAGGCGACGAUGCGUAGCCGACCUGAGAGGGGGAAGGGGCAGAAUAGAACGGAGACACGGGGAAGAGCCAGAAGGCAGGGAGAAGCAGGGAAGAGGACGAAAGGGGAGAAAGAAUUAAAGAGCAACGAAGAGGGAGGAAUGAAGGUGGGAGGAGAGAAAAACGAGGGGAGGAGGUAAGAAAAAAUGAGAAAGAACCUAGGCACGGCGCGAAGGGAAGUAAUAAGAAAGAGAGGGCUAACUAAGAG
RNAcentral lists this ribosomal RNA (497 nucleotides) under uncultured bacterium. RNAcentral's name for it is "partial 16S ribosomal RNA". The stretch from base 21 to 343 matches the Rfam family "Bacterial small subunit ribosomal RNA", at positions 48 to 357 of the family's 1533-position model. The record is from RNAcentral.